UUUAGGAAGAGAAUUUCCUGUAAAGGUUGAGGAAAGAGAGAAAGAGUGAAGAGCAGAAAAAAGUUCUUCACCAUCAGCAGAGCAUUGACAUAGCAGGUGCUCCACAGGAAGCAGAACAGGACUGUCACUGUUGCAAGUGCAUUGGCCCGGAAGGAUGACCACAAUAUAUGUGUGCCCUGACAGCCAACAGGCAAACUUCAUUUUGGGAUGCAUUAAAGACAACAUAGCCAGCCAGUCAAGAGGAUGGCCUUUCUUAGGAUGGAUGCCUUUCUCCCACUGAGAGAUAAACAACCUAAAUAGGGGUGACUCCUGUAUUACCAUCUCACUCUGUGAGUUGAUUUUGAAGUAAUUGAAUUAGAGCUUGAACUAAACUACAGAACUAGAACAAGGCUAUUUUAAUUUGUA
Long non-coding RNA from Oxyura jamaicensis (ruddy duck), 405 nucleotides. RefSeq lists it as uncharacterized. The transcript has 3 exons. NCBI's taxonomy places the organism in Eukaryota, Metazoa, Chordata, Aves, Anseriformes, Anatidae. The record is from RefSeq and is a predicted model, not a curated record.